AUGGAUCCAGCAGAAAGCUUUUAUUACAUUAGAGUUUACUUGUGGCAACAUCCGUAUUUAUUAAAAAAAAAAAAAAGAAGAAAAAAAAAAAGGAACGUAAUUACUAAUGUGGUGUAAACAGCACUAUUUUACGGGGAGGUUAAUGUCUGGGGGAAGCUCUGCGGGCGGUGGUGGCUCCAGCCCGGUGCCCUGCGGUGGGGACAGCUCAGCCAGGAAGGGACGGGGACACAGGGGCUGCCACCGCAGUGGUGCUGGGGAUGAGAACAAGCCACCCCAGCUGGAGCAUGGCGAGGAGGGGGCCAGACACCGAUCCCACCUUGUAGGGAUGGCCUGCGGCCACGGGGACCAUGUCCCCAGCCCACGGGGGGACACGGCCGCCCACGAGUGCCAGCGGGGCUCCCUGGGGACGGGAGCAGCGCGGAGCCACUCGGCGUGAAGUGCAGCCGUAAGUGCCUCCCGCGUCACGUGGAGAGGAUAAGUGCAAAAUGGCCCUAUUAUGAUAAUUGUGCGAAAUUAUGAUUGAUGGAGAUUAGCUGCUUAUUUGAGGAAAUGGCAGGCGCACGUGUGGCGUGGCCGGGCUGCAGGGCGGGAGCUGGGCCCAGCAGGCACCGGUGAUGGGGACUUGCGGAGGGGGGCGCAGGAACGGCCCCUGGGGCUCCUCCCGUGGGAUGUCCCGGCACCGCCAUCCCGGAGCUGCUGCAUCCGUGUCCGGUGGCUCUCACCACCUCAUUAAAUACAUCCCCAAUUAGGGGGAGAACCCGUACAAUGGGGAUGGCACGCGGGAACUGUGCUGUGGGGCUGUGCCAGGGGGCUCUGCAAGAGGAGAGGGCAGCGGAGCAGUCCCGACACCCCCACGGCUCCCAGUAUACGGGAGCUCCCAGUAAGGGUGGCUCCCAAUAAAUGUUAUUUUCCAUGAAGCCGAGCAGGGCUCUGUGCUGGCGCUGGGCUCCCAGCCCGUCCCUGCCUGCACGUCCCCGAGCACACCCCUCGGCCUCGUGCGCUGAAGCCAACCUCCCUCUUGAGCCUCAUCCCUCUUCAAAACGACACCAAGAUCAGGAAUUUAGGGAAGAAAAGCAAAAGCCGAAGAGGUGUGGAGGGCUGCGAUGCCAUCGCCUGCCCUGCCGACGGCCGGGCUGUCCAUCCCAGCUGGGGCACGGCUCGGUGCCACCCGGGGGGCGGCGUGGGGACGCCGCAUCGCACCAGGCCGCGGUGGCCGUGCAGGGUGGCAGACGGCUGGGGGGUCCCCAAAGCCGCCCACCCAUCGGCGCUGAGUCCCUCCUCCGCUCUCCCCUUCCCAAUUUCCUGGGCCCCCCUCUCGCGGCAGGCGGAUGCUGGGUAAGAGGUGUGUCUGCGGGAGCCGUGCUCGCCACGCAGCAUCGCUGCGCCGGGGCUGCCGGCGUCGCCUCCCGCUCCUCGGGAAGGGCUCGCCCGGCCGGGAUGGGGAUGCGGGUGGGGACACGGGGACAGACGGGGCCGAGCCUCCCCACGAGGGGCAGCAGGGCCACAACAGGGCCCCCGCACCCUCCACCGAGGGACGAGGACAUGGCAAAAGGAAGGGUCGCCAGCGGGUCCCCCAUGGCCGGUGAUGGCGGCGCCGCCAGAUCCUUUCUCUGCCUUUUUUUUUUUCCCUUUUCUUCCCCCCCUCGUUUGGCUUUUGGCAGCGGUGCUGGGAAGGGCUGGCGAGCGGCAGCAGCCCCCCGCCGCCCCGGCCCCGUGCCAGGGCGGGUGAUGGCAGAGGGGCUCCGCUCAGCUGCGGGAGCGUCCCCGCGCCGCGCUCGCUGCCAAUUUCCCUGCGAGCUGGCACCGCAGGCGGCUCCGGAGGCAGCGGCGGAGAGGCUGGGGAUGGAUUGUGAAAGGGAGCGAGGAGAGAGAAAAAAAAAAAAAAAAAAAUGGACACAUGCCAUCGCUGGAGCGGCGAAGCUGCCAAAAUGCCAGCAGGCAGCGUGGGGCCGAAACCUGCCGGAGGGGAGAGGAGGGUCUGAAGCCCGUCCCGGCGCGGGUGGCGGUGCAUGGAGGACGGGCAGAACGGCGGAGGCGCCGCGUGGCCGAGGCAGGACAGGUGGCGGACGGUGGAGCCGGCAAGGAAAAAGAUCCCCAGCCCCGUGGGCACCGCCUCCUGUGGACCCAGCCCUGCUGGAUGCAGCAGCCGCAGCCCGGCCCCGGAUGCCACCGUGCCGCCAGCCCCGCUGCAGCCCUGGGGUGGGACAUUUCCCUUGUGUCCCCUUGUCUGUCCGUCCCCCAGCCCGGACAGCAGCAGCGGCAGCACCCAGCCGUGCAGAGGACCACGGGACGUGAUGGAGGUGCCACCGGUCUGGUCCUUGCUGGGACGUGCCAACAGCCACCGGUCCCCGAACACGCUGGGACCCGGUGACAGGGACUGGAGCUCCCCUGCCAUGGGCUCAUCGGGUUUCAGCGACCCCAGGAGCAUGUCCGGGCAGAGGGAGAGGCUCAUCCACCUGCCACACAUGGAGCUUUACCAAGCAUGGCUGUCUUGAGACAAGGAUUUGGCCUGGGGACGAUGCCAGCAGGAGCGUGGAGGCUGAGAGCAGCAUCCCCCAGCGGGACCAGCCCGGCUGCUGCCCGAGGGCUGCGCCUGCCCCGUGUCCUGGGGAUGCUCCGGGGUGGCCGCCCCAUCCCCACCUUAUCCAGAAGCUCCUCACGCUCAGCUCCACGGCACCGGGUCCAUCUCGACCCCGUCCAUCCCAGGACGGGGCUGGCAGGCCCUGCAGCCCCGUGAGCCGUGGAGACGGAGGCGAGCAGCGGGAGGAGGCCGGUGGGGCGCGGGGUGCCCGGCCGCGGGCGGCGGGGGCUGCCGGUCACUGCCAGGUUACAUCUGCCGGGGCACGCAAGAGUGACUCCAGAUGCAUUAGAAGUGCCGUGCUCGAAUUUCAAUUUCAUCGUCUCACAAUCAUUUUCAGGCUCCUCUUAGUGCCACAUUAACGAAGCCUGCUCGUUUGAAUGCAUAAUUAGCCCGAGCAUUCUACCUCGCUAAUUUCGAAGCAGGAGCAGAGAGUGGGGGGGGGUGGG
Molecule: long non-coding RNA, 3027 nt
Filed under: Anser cygnoides (Swan goose)
Lineage: Eukaryota; Metazoa; Chordata; Aves; Anseriformes; Anatidae
Description: lncRNA (ENSACDG00005002931.1)
Source: RNAcentral